RNAcentral lists this ribosomal RNA (253 nucleotides) under uncultured bacterium. RNAcentral describes it as "partial 16S ribosomal RNA". It matches the Rfam family "Bacterial small subunit ribosomal RNA", at positions 524 to 776 of the family's 1533-position model. The record is from RNAcentral.
UACGGAGGGUGCAAGCGUUAUCCGGAAUCAUUGGGCUUAAAGGGUCCGCAGGCGGCUUUAUAAGUCAGUGGUGAAAGCCUGCAGCUCAACUGCAGAACUGCCAUUGAUACUGUAAGUCUUGAAUUCGGUCGAAGUGGGCGGAAUGUGACAUGUAGCGGUGAAAUGCUUAGAUAUGUCACAGAACACCGAUAGCGAAGGCAGCUCACUAGGCCUGGAUUGACGCUCAGGGACGAAAGCGUGGGGAGCAAACAGG